This is an RNA transcript of Populus nigra (black poplar), 1467 nucleotides long. It is a transcript of the gene named serine/arginine-rich SC35-like splicing factor SCL33, with no coding region annotated. NCBI's taxonomy places the organism in Eukaryota, Viridiplantae, Streptophyta, Magnoliopsida, Malpighiales, Salicaceae. The transcript is spliced from 7 exons. The record is from RefSeq and is a predicted model, not a curated record.
GAACCGUAGUUAAUCCUUAACCCUUGCUGUGUGCUAUAUCUACAACCUCCUAACGCUCCCUUCCUCUUUGUACCCGUUAUCGCAGCCACAUCGCUGUCUGCUCUCAAACUCUCUCCUCCGCGGAAGCCUAAUCUUCCGAUUAACAGGUAAUUUUAAAUUGGACACAGAGCAAACAAUUUUGUGGAGAUGAGAGGAAGGAGUUAUAGUCCAUCACCUCCAAGGGGCUAUAGUAGAAGGGGACGGAGUCCUAGUCCUCGGGGACGUUAUGGUGGACGUAGUAGGGAUCUUCCUACUAGCCUUCUAGUUCGCAACCUCCGUCAUGAUUGCAGGCCAGAAGACCUUCGCAGGCCAUUUGAACAGUUUGGUGCUCUUAAGGACAUCUACUUGCCUAGAGACUAUUAUACUGGGGAACCCCGUGGUUUUGGUUUUGUCCAAUAUGCAGAUCCUCAUGAUGCUGCAGAGGCAAAACAUCAUAUGGAUGGUCGUGUCUUUCUUGGCCGGGAGUUGACUGUUGUAUUUGCCGAGGAGAAUAGGAAGAAGCCAAUGGAUAUGAGAGCAAGGGAGCGCACAGCCACUAGGGGUCGAGUUGGUGAUAGAAGAAGAUCACCUCCUCGUUAUUCUCGGUCACCACGCCAUUCCCGUUCUCCACCGCCACGCCAUGCAACAUCCCGGUCUCACAGUCGUGAUUAUUAUUCCCCUCCAAAAAGAAGGCAUCACUCAAGAUCUGUUUCACCCCGAGAGAGGAGGUACAGUCAACAGAGGUCAUAUUCACGAUCAAGGAGCCACAGCCAAACUCCAAAUAGGGGUCAGAUCCGGAGCCCAGUUAGGAGCCGAAGCCGUAGCCCAAGAAAAAGCAGAAGCCGUAGCCCAAUUCAUGAUGAAUAUCCUAAAGAAGUAAAUGGAGACAAGUCUCCUAGUCCAUAAUCCUUGCAUGGAAACAGAUGGUUGUAUCACCUGCUUGUCCUUUGGAUUAUGUUUUUGAUAAUGUUGAGAGGCAUUUCCUCUGUGAUGUGUUGUGCCCUGCAAACGGCCCAGUGAUUCAGCUAAGCUUUUUUUUUUUAGUGGGGGAGCAGCUGUCUUGGAUCUGUCUUUAUGGGAAAAGUGUGGUUUCUGCGGGACCAAAAAGUAUAAAAAGGGAGAUGAUUUUGACGUUUGGUACCCUCAGCAUUCCACUUUACAACUAAGCAGGGAUAUAAUUUUCUUUGUGUGCAGUGUCUGGUCUUUAUCCAGGCGGAUUUGGCAUCAAACAUUCUGAUGUCAAAUUCAUGUGCUUUACUUCUUAGGGCUCCACUCUGAGAUUAUAUCGAGAUUUAUGGAGUUGCAUUGACGCUCCCAUCAAGUUUGGUUCCCUUGAAAACCUGUUCAAAAGGUAUCAUGGUAGUAAAGCUUGCUUCUUUGAGCUUAAACUGUGGAAUGUCUCUCAUCUGGGUUUCAAAAUAUGAAAAUGAAGUAAAUGUUCCUUGUUCC